GAUGAACGCUGGCGGCGUGCCUAAUACAUGCAAGUCGAGCGAACGGACGAGAAGCUUGCUUCUCUGAUGUUAGCGGCGGACGGGUGAGUAACACGUGGAUAACCUACCUAUAAGACUGGGAUAACUUCGGGACACCGGAGCUAAUACCGGAUAAUAUUUUGAACCGCAUGGUUCAAAAGUGAAAGACGGUCUUUCUGUCACUUAUCGAUGGAUCCGCGCUGCAUUAGCUAGUUGGUAAGGUAACGGCUUACCAAGGCAACGAUGCAUAGCCGACCGCAGAGGGUGAUAGGCCACACGGGAGCUGAGACACGGUCCAGACUCCUACGGGAGGCAGCAGUAGGGAAUCUUCCGCAAUGGGCGAAAGCCUGACGGAGCAACGCCGCGUGAGUGAUGAAGGUCUUCGGAUCGUAAAACUCUGUUAUUAGGUAAGAACAUAUGUGUAAGUAACUGUGCACAUAUUGACGGUACCUAAUCAGAAAGCCACGGCUAACUACGUG
RNAcentral lists this ribosomal RNA (497 nucleotides) under uncultured bacterium. RNAcentral describes it as "partial 16S ribosomal RNA". It matches the Rfam family "Bacterial small subunit ribosomal RNA", at positions 28 to 507 of the family's 1533-position model. The record is from RNAcentral.